AAUGGGCGAAAGCCUGAUGCAGCAACGCCGCGUGAGUGAUGAAGGCCUUCGGGUCGUAAAGCUCUUUGAUCAGGGAUGAUAAUGACAGUACCUGAAAAACAAGCCACGGCUAACUACGUGCCAGCAGCCGCGGUAAUACGUAGGUGGCGAGCGUUGUCCGGAAUUACUGGGCGUAAAGGAUGCGUAGGUGGAUAUUUAAGUGGGAUGUGAAAUCCCCGGGCUCAACCCGGGAACUGCAUUCCAAACUGGGUAUCUAGAGUGCAGGAGAGGAAAGCGGAAUUCCUAGUGUAGCGGUGAAAUGCGUAGAUAUUAGGAGGAACACCAGUGGCGAAGGCGGCUUUCUGGACUGUAACUGACACUGAGGCAUGAAAGCGUGGGUAGCAAA
This 385-nucleotide ribosomal RNA is filed under the name uncultured bacterium. Its description in RNAcentral is "bacterial SSU rRNA". It matches the Rfam family "Bacterial small subunit ribosomal RNA", at positions 370 to 772 of the family's 1533-position model. The record is from RNAcentral.